UACGAAGGGUGCGAGCGUUGUUCGGAAUUAUUGGGCGUAAAGCGCACGUAGGCGGCCUUGUAAGUCUCACUGUGAAAGCCCGGGGCUCAACCCCGGGAGGCCAGGGGAUACUGCGAGGCUGGAGACAAGCAGAGGUUGGUAGAAUUCCGGGUGUAGCGGUGGAAUGCGUAGAGAUCCGGAGGAAUACCAGAGGCGAAGGCGGCCAACUGGGCUUGAUCUGACGCUGAGGUGCGAAAGCGUGGGGAGCGAACAGG
RNAcentral lists this ribosomal RNA (254 nucleotides) under uncultured bacterium. RNAcentral's name for it is "partial 16S ribosomal RNA". It matches the Rfam family "Bacterial small subunit ribosomal RNA", at positions 524 to 776 of the family's 1533-position model. The record is from RNAcentral.